GGCAUAGUGUGUCUUCACUGGUGUACUUAAUACCCACAGCAACCCCAGAUGGACUUGCUGAAACUCAGUCCAUCAUACAGAGAGAACGGAAACUAUCAGAUCGAGGGACUUACUUGGUCAAGAUGAUACAGGAUGUACGUCAAGGAUGGAGAGCUCAAAGGCAUUUGAGCCUGCCCUAGGCAUUCGGAAACACUCUAGUACCUCCAGAGUCGCUACGUAAGCCAUAUGUGCCCAAUCAGCGUGAGUUCUUUGUAAGUAUUAAAAAUGGCCUGGAGAUGGAGACUAGAGCUAAAGAUGGCAUACCCAGAGCACUGAGUUCUAUCUGUGGCACUAAAUGUCCUGGCUGAGCAAGCCAUGGUGAAUAAGUUAGUAAGCAGUAUCCCUCUGUGAAUGGACUCUGCAUCAGCUCCAGCCUCCAGGUUCCUGCCCUGUUUGAGUUCCUGUCCUGAUUUCCUUGGAUGAAGAGCUGUAAACAGAAUAAACUCUUUCCUCCCCAACUUGUUUUUUGAUAAUGGUAUUUUAUUGCAGCUAUAGAAACCCCAAGGAAGCCACCAUAUAACCUGGGAUAGCAAUUCCUUUGUGUCCCCAGCUUUUGUCUGAAAGACAGGAAGGAGGAAGGGAGGGAGGGAGAGAGGGAAGGAGAGCAGAAGGAGGGAGGAAGGAAGGAAGAAAUAAAAAACCUAAACACUUGUCACAAUUAGAGAUACUUCUAACAUAAAGAAAACAGAAAAAACAAAAUUAUAGAAGACAAAUUAAAAAUAUGCCUUGUCUGAGGAUGUCACCUGUCCAAGAUGCAUAAUACCUGGGUUCUAGCUACAACAUAGGAAAAAAGUAUAAUAGAAAGCAACUAUUUUAAAAGGCAACCCAUGGUGAUAUGAAGACAGUAACACAGCCACCUCUUUUCUCAUUUUCUCAAAAAAUUACUAUUUUCUUACAUUGGAAGUUGUACUGGCUAGUUUUGUGUCAACUUGACACAGCUGGAGUUAUCACAGAGAAAGGAGCUUCAGUUGAGGAAAUGCCUCCAUGAGAUCCAACUGUAAGGCAUUUUCUCAAUUAGUGAUCAAGGGGGAAAGGCCCCUUGUGGGUGGGACCAUCUCCCGGCUGGUAGUCUUGGGUUCUAUAAGAGAGCAGGCUGAGCAAGCCAGGGGAAGCAAGCCAGUAAAGAACAUCCCUCCAUGGCCUCUGCAUCAGCUCCUGCUUCCUGACCUGCUUGUGUUCCAGUCCUGACUUUCCUUGGUGAUGAACAGCAGUAUGGAAGUGUAAGCUGAAUAAACCCUUUCCUCCCCAACUUGCUUCUUGGUCAUGAUGUUUGUGCAGGAAUAGAAACCCUGACUAGGACAGAAGUGCAUAUUAUUAUGCAUGUUACAAAAGUAAAUUAGGCAAGAGCAUAGGCUUAAGCUGUGCGUCAUUGCUCGUGUCUUCUCUGUCUCAGUGCGUGAACUCAGCAAAUGACAUUUCCUAAGAUUCCAAUGUUAACAUAAAAAAAAAAAUGAAGAUAAUUCCAGUGACUACCAAAUGAGACAACUGUAAAAUCAAUCUACCUUCAAAUGUAUAGAACUCAGUCUGGUUCUUAAUACAGGUAAGUUGUUCUCUUACAAGCAAACCUCACUUUCUAGAGAUUUGGCAGAAAUGACAAUUUUUCCACCUGGUCUAUUUCGUAGGCAUAUGAAAUAGAAAGAACUUUUGUGUCUUUACAUGGUUCUCAGUUCGUGCUUGCUGUAGAUUCUCCAGCAGAAGUAUCUAGGAACCAACCAACCUGCCAUUGGUUGAGGGUUUGAUUGGGAACUUGCUCAAAGAAACUGACAAAAAGCAAGUUGAGGGUCUUGUUUUGCAAGCCUUCCCAGCUCUCUGCUUGUAUCCCAUCUCUGGGCACAUCCACAUGAAUGACUGGAACAACCCGGGAGGGCAGUGUUGUAUUAAUCCCGCCAGCACUAGAUGCUGCUGGUAGCCUGUAGGUCUGCUUUCACCACUUGAUCUGAUGGUCUGAAUGGUUAUCAGGAAAAGCUAUUUAAAAAAUAAGACCUCCUUUAGUCACAACACUUGGGAGGCAGAGGCAGAUGGAACUAUGUGAGUUUGAGGCCAGCCUAGUCUACAGAGUGAGUUCUAGGAUAGCCAGAGCUACUCAGAGAUUGUACACAGGGCUGUCUAAAAAAAUAAUUAAUAAUGAUGAUGAUAAUAAUAAUAAUAAUAAUAAUAAUAAAGAUCUUUGCUAUGAAUUGAUGCCUAUUUGACACUUUUUUUUCCCCAAAUGUGGAAGCUUUGGAAUCUUUUGGUUAA
Molecule: long non-coding RNA, 2277 nt
Filed under: Mus musculus (house mouse)
Lineage: Eukaryota; Metazoa; Chordata; Mammalia; Rodentia; Muridae
Description: long non-coding RNA chr17:51850238-51852515
Source: RNAcentral